UCGGAUAUGGUGCAGGGUAGUGUACACCGGGCUCAUGUUAUGGACCCGUGAAAGGAUAGUUCCUGGAGGCCACCAGGGUUCGAUUCCCCGUGUUUGAA
Molecule: non-coding RNA, 98 nt
Organism: Mycena leptocephala
Lineage: Eukaryota; Fungi; Basidiomycota; Agaricomycetes; Agaricales; Mycenaceae
Source: the annotation of a GenBank genome assembly